CUGAUUAUGUCCCACUCUCUGGUCAUCUCAUUUUAGCAUCAUGACUUCAUUUUAGUUCUCUUCUAGGCCCCCAAAGUAUCAAUCUUGGCCAUCACUAUUAAGCAUCAGCUAUGAAGCUUCUUGUACUUGGAAGGAAGGUAGUACGAAGGAUCCACCUCAAGAGCGCUAUAGAUAUACAAGUACAUGUUCAGCAAGCUCAGUUGAUCGGAUUACCAUGGCAGGAAAUACCGCUGAUGCCACUUUUAGAUCAAUAGACUCACCGCAGAGUGAUUAUACCACCUUUGAAUUUUCCGAGCUUUUGGAGUUUGAUGAGUGGGCAGAGGAAGAUCUGACAAAGAUGGUUUCUGGGUACCCCAUGAAUCCGGUUUAUGCAGCAAAUGAAGCCGGGAACUCCAUUGGAACUAGCACCCGCCUUGAAGGACCUGAUGGCAGUAAGCAACUCGCUGACAUGUUUUUUUUUCUAGUAAUAAAUGAAUGUUGAGAUGUAUGGACUUGUUAGCAAACUUUCAUAUAUCUAAACUACUUAACAUAUUCAUGUAGAACACACUUGCACACGCACAGAUAUGUAUAUCAACAGAGUAGGAAUAUGCAAACUUCGUUGAUUAAUAUGCUGAUUUUUUGUUAUUAGGGGUCAGUGGGAGCGGACGGGAGAAGAAGGAUAGUAAAGACAGAGUUGCUUUUAAAACAAUGUCGGAGGUUGAAAUUCUAGAUGACGGUUUUAAAUGGAGGAAGUAUGGGAAAAAGAUGGUGAAAAACAGCCCAAAUCCAAGGUAAAGUAACAAUAAUUACAUCAAGCAGUAGCAUCCAUAACAACACAUUUGUUUGCACUAUUAUUAUUUCUUAACAUGACACAGUUUCAGAUCUUAAUAUCAAACAAAAAACACUGAAAAGGUAGUUAGGUUACAUGCCCUUCUAAUUUUAAGUAAAAUCAAGUUGCAAGUUAAGCAUGUUAUAUGAUUAUGAUAAGAAUCACCAAAAAUAAAAACACAGAGGAGUUUAUAAUGCUUGCCUGACAGAUGAUGUCAUGAUAUAGACUUCAUGAGGACUACAAGCUUCAUUUGAAACUGAAUCCCAC
Molecule: long non-coding RNA, 1075 nt
Filed under: Panax ginseng (ginseng)
Lineage: Eukaryota; Viridiplantae; Streptophyta; Magnoliopsida; Apiales; Araliaceae
Description: long non-coding RNA (PGIN_LNC008728)
Source: RNAcentral